GCAACGCUAGGCUAACACUAACUAGCUAGCAAGAUUAUAAACCUGGUGCUAAACUAAGAGAAGCCGCAAAAUCAGUUUGAAUAAGAGUAAACAUUUACUCACCAAGUCAGUGUAUCAGGUAAAGAUUCACAGCAAUGACAAUAAUCUCUUGAGCUGACGCUUCUCCAGGUUUGUUCAACAUAUCCCAUAACAAAUGCUGGCACCAUGAACAUGUGGACUGAUCCGAGAGGGAGGAGGAGGUAGUCAUGUGGCAUUUUCAAAACACAUUUUUCAUCCUUCCGCCCUGAGAAGCAAAACUUCCAGCUUACUUAGUUUUUCUAAGUUUAGACAACUCAAAUAAAUUGAGUUUAUCAGCAUUUUUGCAUAAAAAGUACUGGUAACUUAUUUAAAUCGAGUUCUAAUAACAAAUUGAUAAAAAAUUGAGUUCAGCCCAUUUAAUAUUUUUAAUUAAACACAAUAUUACAUUUUACAGUGUGCCAUGAUCUAAAGAAACCCAAGAACAACUGAGAUUUGCAUUGUGGGCUACUUUUUGUGAAAACUUUUGAAUUUAUCAGUGAGAGAAUAAAAAUCCUCGUCUCAAUCAUGUUUAAUAUCUAAGCAAUAAUAUCUUCAAUAAAAGGACUGAAUAAAUUCCUUGAGGAAGAUUGCUGAAACUAUCAGAAUGGAAGUGAGGGAAUUAAUCAAGAGGGAAAAACUAGAGAGACAACUAUGUUUGCAUCUGCAAAAAAAAAAAAAAAAAAAGACCACAUAAAAGAGUGGGCACCAAGAGGGAAUGUAACCAGGAUUUUAUUUUAACUUCAAACACUGGCUUCCUCUAGUUCUUGCAGCUUUUGGAGUACCUACCGAAUACAAAGGAAAUGUUUAAAACGCUUUAAGGAGAAUUUGAACCUUUGCCGCAGACACAGUUAUAAUCUGCUAACACAAAAACGCACUGGCAUAUGAACUCAGUAACCCUGAGACCCAGAACUUAUGACCACGUUUCAGACAAAUACAAGGGGGAGGGGGUUUAGGAUCUGACUGAGUGAGUUUUCACCAACAAAAUUUAGAACAGUUUGUGAGAAAGUAAGAGUAUUUACUGCAGUGAGAACUUUCAGUUUGACAGAUUGGCAGACACUUUCAUUCACUGAAACUCCAGAAACAGUCCCUUACUCCCAUAAGCCUUUACUGAAAUACUUGGAAAAUCAAAGUUUCAACUCUAGAGUGUUAUUGGCUUUUUCAUUUUUAUGUUGCAAACCCAGGACAGGAAAGUUACCAAUAUAUGAUUCAUGGGUAGAGCUAUGUUGAAAACAAAUAUUUACAGAUAUAUAUAGUUUAAAAAACAUUGAAGCUACACAAUUCAAUAAAAG
This is a long non-coding RNA of Astatotilapia calliptera (eastern happy), 1346 nucleotides long. Lineage: Eukaryota; Metazoa; Chordata; Actinopteri; Cichliformes; Cichlidae. The record is from Ensembl.